Molecule: long non-coding RNA, 730 nt
Organism: Triticum dicoccoides
Lineage: Eukaryota; Viridiplantae; Streptophyta; Magnoliopsida; Poales; Poaceae
Exons: 2
Source: RefSeq, a predicted model, not a curated record
GCGCACUCUCCUCCUCGCCCCUCUCCUGUGCUGCUCCAUCCAGUAGACUGUUGCAAUCCCUAUUCCCAUCUCGAUAAUCCGCCUGGAUCUCCAUUGCUUCGAUCUCCCUCUCACCUACAUCUCUGGCCAUGGCGUCUUCUGCUUCCUCAGUUCCUGCCGGAUCGGUCGCCGCACCCGAAGACGUCGCUCCUCUCCCCCCUCAUCCGGUGCCCCAGAUGCAACAUGGGGGUGAUUAAGUGGUUCAUCUCCGAGACCCCCCUGAAUCCCAGCCGUCAUUUCUACAAGUGUCAGUUCCGUGAUUCCGGUCGUUGCACCUUCUGAAAAUGGGACAACAAGUACGUCGACUACCUAUGCGCUCGAUGGGCUCAUGUGUUUCUUCCCCCACCUCCUCCGCUCCAGGAUCUUCCUACUGUGGUACUGCGUGACAUUCAGUCCUACCUGAAGAUUUCACUGUCCGUCACCCUUGGUACUCUUGCUGCUGUACUGACGCUUCUAGUCUCCAAAAUGUAGCUCCGUUUGAAUUAUGUAAUAGUUCUAUCUCUAAUUAGUAUGAUCACUAGGCCAAGCAGCUGCCUAUCCAUGUACUAUUAGUUAGUUCUGAUCCAGUGCCAUCUUAGUUAACUGUGGUAGUACGUUGUAAAUUUUCAAUUCUGUCAUACAGAGGUUCUACUGUAAGUCUGUAACUGUCUCCAACGCAAUAUAAUAUGAUUGUGUCAUAUUUUUCGUUUUA